CAUAGGUUAAUGAGGCGAACCGGGGGAACUGAAACAUCUAAGUACCCCGAGGAAAAGAAAUCAACCGAGAUUCCCCCAGUAGCGGCGAGCGAACGGGGAGGAGCCCAGAGCCUGAAUCAGUGUGUGUGUUAGUGGAAGCGUCUGGAAAGGCGCGCGAUACAGGGUGACAGCCCCGUACACAAAAAUGCACAUGCUGUGAGCUCGAUGAGUAGGGCGGGACACGUGGUAUCCUGUCUGAAUAUGGGGGGACCAUCCUCCAAGGCUAAAUACUCCUGACUGACCGAUAGUGAACCAGUACCGUGAGGGAAAGGCGAAAAGAACCCCGGCGAGGGGAGUGAAAAAGAACCUGAAACCGUGUACGUACAAGCAGUGGGAGCCUCUUAAUGGGGUGACUGCGUACCUUUUGUAUAAUGGGUCAGCGACUUAUAUUCUGUAGCAAGGUUAACCGAAUAGGGGAGCCGAAGGGAAACCGAGUCUUAACUGGGCGUUAAGUUGCAGGGUAUAGACCCGAAACCCGGUGAUCUAGCCAUGGGCAGGUUGAAGGUUGGGUAACACUAACUGGAGGACCGAACCGACUAAUGUUGAAAAAUUAGCGGAUGACUUGUGGCUGGGGGUGAAAGGCCAAUCAAACCGGGAGAUAGCUGGUUCUCCCCGAAAGCUAUUUAGGUAGCGCCUCGUGAAUUCAUCUCCGGGGGUAGAGCACUGUUUCGGCAAGGGGGUCAUCCCGACUUACCAACCCGAUGCAAACUGCGAAUACCGGAGAAUGUUAUCACGGGAGACACACGGCGGGUGCUAACGUCCGUCGUGAAGAGGGAAACAACCCAGACCGCCAGCUAAGGUCCCAAAGUCAUGGUUAAGUGGGAAACGAUGUGGGAAGGCCCAGACAGCCAGGAUGUUGGCUUAGAAGCAGCCAUCAUUUAAAGAAAGCGUAAUAGCUCACUGGUCGAGUCGGCCUGCGCGGAAGAUGUAACGGGGCUAAACCAUGCACCGAAGCUGCGGCAGCGACACUAUGUGUUGUUGGGUAGGGGAGCGUUCUGUAAGCCUGUGAAGGUGGCCUGUGAGGGUUGCUGGAGGUAUCAGAAGUGCGAAUGCUGACAUAAGUAACGAUAAAGCGGGUGAAAAGCCCGCUCGCCGGAAGACCAAGGGUUCCUGUCCAACGUUAAUCGGGGCAGGGUGAGUCGACCCCUAAGGCGAGGCCGAAAGGCGUAGUCGAUGGGAAACAGGUUAAUAUUCCUGUACUUGGUGUUACUGCGAAGGGGGGACGGAGAAGGCUAUGUUGGCCGGGCGACGGUUGUCCCGGUUUAAGCGUGUAGGCUGGUUUUCCAGGCAAAUCCGGAAAACCAAGGCUGAGGCGUGAUGACGAGGCACUACGGUGCUGAAGUGACAAAUGCCCUGCUUCCAGGAAAAGCCUCUAAGCAUCAGGUAACAUCAAAUCGUACCCCAAACCGACACAGGUGGUCAGGUAGAGAAUACCAAGGCGCUUGAGAGAACUCGGGUGAAGGAACUAGGCAAAAUGGUGCCGUAACUUCGGGAGAAGGCACGCUGAUAUGUAGGUGAAGCGACUUGCUCGUGGAGCUGAAAUCAGUCGAAGAUACCAGCUGGCUGCAACUGUUUAUUAAAAACACAGCACUGUGCAAACACGAAAGUGGACGUAUACGGUGUGACGCCUGCCCGGUGCCGGAAGGUUAAUUGAUGGGGUUAGCGGUAACGCGAAGCUCUUGAUCGAAGCCCCGGUAAACGGCGGCCGUAACUAUAACGGUCCUAAGGUAGCGAAAUUCCUUGUCGGGUAAGUUCCGACCUGCACGAAUGGCGUAAUGAUGGCCAGGCUGUCUCCACCCGAGACUCAGUGAAAUUGAACUCGCUGUGAAGAUGCAGUGUACCCGCGGCAAGACGGAAAGACCCCGUGAACCUUUACUAUAGCUUGACACUGAACAUUGAGCCUUGAUGUGUAGGAUAGGUGGGAGGCUUUGAAGUGUGGACGCCAGUCUGCAUGGAGCCGACCUUGAAAUACCACCCUUUAAUGUUUGAUGUUCUAACGUUGGCCCCUAAUCGGGGUUGCGGACAGUGUCUGGUGGGUAGUUUGACUGGGGCGGUCUCCUCCUAAAGAGUAACGGAGGAGCACGAAGGUUGGCUAAUCCUGGUCGGACAUCAGGAGGUUAGUGCAAUGGCAUAAGCCAGCUUGACUGCGAGCGUGACGGCGCGAGCAGGUGCGAAAGCAGGUCAUAGUGAUCCGGUGGUUCUGAAUGGAAGGGCCAUCGCUCAACGGAUAAAAGGUACUCCGGGGAUAACAGGCUGAUACCGCCCAAGAGUUCAUAUCGACGGCGGUGUUUGGCACCUCGAUGUCGGCUCAUCACAUCCUGGGGCUGAAGUAGGUCCCAAGGGUAUGGCUGUUCGCCAUUUAAAGUGGUACGCGAGCUGGGUUUAGAACGUCGUGAGACAGUUCGGUCCCUAUCUGCCGUGGGCGCUGGAGAACUGAGGGGG
Molecule: ribosomal RNA, 2481 nt
Filed under: Escherichia coli
Lineage: Bacteria; Pseudomonadati; Pseudomonadota; Gammaproteobacteria; Enterobacterales; Enterobacteriaceae
Description: partial 23S ribosomal RNA
Rfam family: Bacterial large subunit ribosomal RNA
Source: RNAcentral